This 800-nucleotide ribosomal RNA is filed under the name Halobacillus sp. JSM 102080. Its description in RNAcentral is "bacterial SSU rRNA". It matches the Rfam family "Bacterial small subunit ribosomal RNA", at positions 36 to 803 of the family's 1533-position model. The record is from RNAcentral. Lineage: Bacteria; Bacillati; Bacillota; Bacilli; Caryophanales; Bacillaceae.
CGGGGGGGGGGGGCUAUACAUGCAAGUCGAGCGCGGGAAGCGAGUGGAUCCCUUCGGGGUGAAGCUCGUGGAACGAGCGGCGGACGGGUGAGUAACACGUGGGCAACCUGCCUGUAAGAUCGGAAUAACUCCGGGAAACCGGGGCUAAUGCCGGGUAAUACUUUCUUUCGCAUGAAGGAAAGUUGAAAGAUGGCUUCUUGCUAUCACUUACAGAUGGGCCCGCGGCGCAUUAGCUAGUUGGUGAGGUAACGGCUCACCAAGGCGACGAUGCGUAGCCGACCUGAGAGGGUGAUCGGCCACACUGGGACUGAGACACGGCCCAGACUCCUACGGGAGGCAGCAGUAGGGAAUCUUCCGCAAUGGACGAAAGUCUGACGGAGCAACGCCGCGUGAACGAUGAAGGUCUUCGGAUCGUAAAGUUCUGUUGUUAGGGAAGAACAAGUACCGUGCGAAUAGAGCGGUACCUUGACGGUACCUAACGAGGAAGCCCCGGCUAACUACGUGCCAGCAGCCGCGGUAAUACGUAGGGGGCAAGCGUUGUCCGGAAUUAUUGGGCGUAAAGCGCGCGCAGGCGGUUCCUUAAGUCUGAUGUGAAAGCCCACGGCUCAACCGUGGAGGGUCAUUGGAAACUGGGGAACUUGAGGACAGAAGAGGAGAGUGGAAUUCCACGUGUAGCGGUGAAAUGCGUAGAUAUGUGGAGGAACACCAGUGGCGAAGGCGACUCUCUGGUCUGUUUCUGACGCUGAGGUGCGAAAGCGUGGGUAGCAAACAGGAUUAGAUACCCUGGUAGUCCACGCCGU